GACGAACGCUGGCGGCGUGCCUAACACAUGCCAGUAGAACGCACAGUUUAUACCGUAGCUUGCUACACCAUAGACUGUGAGUUGCGAACGGGUGAGUAACGCGUAGGUAACCUGCCUGGUAGCGGGGGAUAACUAUUGGAAACGAUAGCUAAUACCGCAUAAUAUUGAUUAUUGCAUGAUAAUUGAUUGAAAGAUGCUAUUGCAUCACUACCAGAUGGACCUGCGUUGUAUUAGCUAGUAGGUGAGGUAACGGCUCACCUAGGCGACGAUACAUAGCCGACCUGAGAGGGUGAUCGGCUACACUGGGACUGAGACGCGGCCCAGACUCCUACGGGAGGCAGCAGUAGGGAAUCUUCGGCAAUGGACGAAAGUCUGACCGAGCAACGCCGCGUGAGUGAAGAAGGUUUUCGGAUCGUAAAGCUCUGUUGUAAGAGAAGAACGGGUGUGAGAGUGGAAAGUUCACACUGUGACGGUAUCUUACCAGAAAGGGACGGCUAACUACGUG
RNAcentral lists this ribosomal RNA (505 nucleotides) under uncultured bacterium. RNAcentral's name for it is "partial 16S ribosomal RNA". It matches the Rfam family "Bacterial small subunit ribosomal RNA", at positions 28 to 507 of the family's 1533-position model. The record is from RNAcentral.